AAAUUGAAGAGUUUGAUCAUGGCUCAGAUUGAACGCUGGCGGCAGGCCUAACACAUGCAAGUCGAGCGGUAGCACAGAGAGCUUGCUCUCGGGUGACGAGCGGCGGACGGGUGAGUAAUGUCUGGGAAACUGCCUGAUGGAGGGGGAUAACUACUGGAAACGGUAGCUAAUACCGCAUAAUGUCGCAAGACCAAAGUGGGGGACCUUCGGGCCUCAUGCCAUCAGAUGUGCCCAGAUGGGAUUAGCUAGUAGGUGGGGUAACGGCUCACCUAGGCGACGAUCCUAGCUGGUCUGAGAGGAUGACCAGCCACACUGGAACUGAGACACGGUCCAGACUCCUACGGGAGGCAGCAGUGGGGAAUAUUGCACAAUGGGCGCAAGCCUGAUGCAGCCAUGCCGCGUGUGUGAAGAAGGCCUUCGGGUUGUAAAGCACUUUCAGCGGGGAGGAAGGCGUUAAGGUUAAUAACCUUGUCGAUUGACGUUACCCGCAGAAGAAGCACCGGCUAACUCCGUGCCAGCAGCCGCGGUAAUACGGAGGGUGCAAGCGUUAAUCGGAAUUACUGGGCGUAAAGCGCACGCAGGCGGUCUGUCAAGUCGGAUGUGAAAUCCCCGGGCUCAACCUGGGAACUGCAUUCGAAACUGGCAGGCUAGAGUCUUGUAGAGGGGGGUAGAAUUCCAGGUGUAGCGGUGAAAUGCGUAGAGAUCUGGAGGAAUACCGGUGGCGAAGGCGGCCCCCUGGACAAAGACUGACGCUCAGGUGCGAAAGCGUGGGGAGCAAACAGGAUUAGAUACCCUGGUAGUCCACGCCGUAAACGAUGUCGAUUUGGAGGUUGUGCCCUUGAGGCGUGGCUUCCGGAGCUAACGCGUUAAAUCGACCGCCUGGGGAGUACGGCCGCAAGGUUAAAACUCAAAUGAAUUGACGGGGGCCCGCACAAGCGGUGGAGCAUGUGGUUUAAUUCGAUGCAACGCGAAGAACCUUACCUGGUCUUGACAUCCACAGAACUUUCCAGAGAUGGAUUGGUGCCUUCGGGAACUGUGAGACAGGUGCUGCAUGGCUGUCGUCAGCUCGUGUUGUGAAAUGUUGGGUUAAGUCCCGCAACGAGCGCAACCCUUAUCCUUUGUUGCCAGCGGUCCGGCCGGGAACUCAAAGGAGACUGCCAGUGAUAAACUGGAGGAAGGUGGGGAUGACGUCAAGUCAUCAUGGCCCUUACGACCAGGGCUACACACGUGCUACAAUGGCAUAUACAAAGAGAAGCGACCUCGCGAGAGCAAGCGGACCUCAUAAAGUAUGUCGUAGUCCGGAUUGGAGUCUGCAACUCGACUCCAUGAAGUCGGAAUCGCUAGUAAUCGUAGAUCAGAAUGCUACGGUGAAUACGUUCCCGGGCCUUGUACACACCGCCCGUCACACCAUGGGAGUGGGUUGCAAAAGAAGUAGGUAGCUUAACCUUCGGGAGGGCGCUUACCACUUUGUGAUUCAUGACUGGGGUGAAGUCGUAACAAGGUAACCGUAGGGGAACCUGCGGUUGGAUCACCUCCUUACCUUAAAGAA
RNAcentral lists this ribosomal RNA (1549 nucleotides) under Klebsiella pneumoniae. RNAcentral describes it as "bacterial SSU rRNA". It matches the Rfam family "Bacterial small subunit ribosomal RNA". Lineage: Bacteria; Pseudomonadati; Pseudomonadota; Gammaproteobacteria; Enterobacterales; Enterobacteriaceae. The record is from RNAcentral.